AUGGACGAUGCAGGUUCAGAGUCAACGGCUGUGCCCCUCGAUUUAUUACUACAAAUCACAGAUGGUUUCUCCGAGGAGCGGAAACUUGGUAGUGGUUCGUUUGGAGAGGUUUACUUGGGUGUGCAUCCAGACGGGCAAAAGAUUGCUGUGAAGAAGAUCUAUGAUAUGCCAGGAGUUGACGAGGAGCAAUUUCAGAAUGAGUUUAAGAACCUUGCAAGGCUGCAGCACCGAAAUAUUGUGCGGUUAGUUGGCUAUUGCCACCAUAUUCAGGAAGUACCAGCAAUGUAUGAAGGAAAAUUGGUUCUUGCGGAAAAGAUACAUAGGGCGCUCUGCUUGGAGUAUAUGUCUAAUGGAAGCCUUGAAAAAUAUAUUUCUGAUGAAUGUGAUAAAUAUGAUUGGCACACUGGCUACGGAAUAAUUAAGGGGAUUUGCCAGGGUUUGAAAUACCUCCACACUAAAUUAGAGCCACCUAUUUAUCAUUUGGAUUUAAAGCCAGCCAACAUAUUGCUGGAUGAGAACAUGGUUCCCAGAAUUGCAGAUUUUGGGAUAUCAAGGCUGUUUGGAGAUGAACGAACGCGAGCUACAAAAAGUACUUUAGGAACACAAGGGUACUUACCACCGGAAUACAUACGCAACUAUUUAAUCUCAAGUAAAUUUGACAUAUUCAGCCUGGGUGUUGUAAUCAUAAAGAUAAUGGCAGGACGGGCGGGCUACUACAAAAGCGCUGAAAUGUCUUCCCACGAAUUCAUUAAUGUUGUACAGGAAAAUUGGACAAAUAGGCCACAUGAAACAUCGAGUCUGAUGAAGGCAUAUUCCAAGCAAGUAAAGAUAUGUAUUGAAAUAGGUUUAAGUUGUGUGCAGGAGGAUCGACACAAAAGGCCCACUGUACAGAAUAUUGUUGAUAGACUGAAUGAGACAGAAACUGAGUGUACCUGUGCGUAUAAGAAAUUUGAGGUGCAGGAGAACUCAGGGGGGCUCACCCCUAAUUAUUUCAUGAAUAAUGGCCGCUCUGUCAGUGAAGUGCCUCUGAACAAUGAUGCAGGCCCUUCCAUACAAGCUAGAAAUGCAUGGCAAUAUCCUAAAGACAUGACUGCACAACAAGAACUUGGCGAACGACAAGCAGCUUCGCUUCCUAAUGGAAUUUAUGAGCCUCCUAGGCAGAUAAUGGAAGGUUUUCCUGAAUCUGGAGGCACCACUACAGUUGAAAGACAGGAUCUUGCAGUCAGAGUUCAAGAAGCAAUCACUGAUCCUUUUGUCGUCAAAGACCGCCGAAGCGCAUUAAAUGGAAAGAGUUAUCCUCCAUCUAAAGAAGAAGCGGUACAUCGUAUGGAGAACGUUUCUCUAAAGGGGAAGCGUUGCAAUGACCUAGCUGAUAAAAAUAUUACUACAGUGAAGCGCUUUAUGGGUCAUUAUCACAGAGACAAAUCUGGUCUCCAAAAGCUUAAAGUGAAGAGCUGGAAAUUGCCCGCAUUCAAGAAAUUUGAGGAGCGGGAAAACUCAGGGGUUCUUAUUCCUGAUUAUUUGAUGAUGAAUGGCUGCCCUGUCCGUGCAGUGUCUCUGAACAAUGAUGCAGGUCCUUCUGUACAAGCUAGAACUAUAUGGCAAUAUCCUAAUGACAUGGCCGCACAACACGUAUUUAGUGAUCGACAUCCAUUGAAUGGGUUCUCACGGGCCGCAGUCCUGUCAAACAAUGGCGCCGGUCCUUCAAACCAAGGAACACUGCCGUUUUCACAGCCCACAUAUGAACAGACUGUGCAUCAAGGAAAUGGUCAGCACGAUCCUUCUAUGGCGCAGAAUGGAAUUCCUGAUUAUCUGCCCCAGGGAAAUAUCUUAAAUGAUCAGGGAUCACUUUCAGCACAGCCAACUCCGUUCCACAAUUUUCUACCAGUUCCAGCGGAUGAGAUGAUCACAGGUGCAAGUCUAACUGACGAACAGACUGAAUACUUCUCGACAACUGAUUCUCUUGGCACUCUAGAAAAUGCAAUUCCUGGGCCUGAAUUGGACAUAUCCUGUGACAGCCCCAAGAGCUUAUUGCAAGCCAAGAAUCCUUUGAAACAAGGUAACUGGAGACAGCUUCUGGGAAUUAAUACAGGAGACUUGAAGCAGGUGAUCAUAGCAUGUGGUAAGGCUGCUGCAGAGAAUGAUAUACAUACAGAAGUGCUGAUAUCUGAGCUACGUCAGCUGGUGUCUAUCUCUGGAGAUCCAAUGCAACGCCUAGGAGCAUAUAUGUUGGAAGGCCUUGUUGCCAGAUUUUCUUCCUCUGGAAGUAAGCUGUAUAAAUCCUUGAAGUACAAAGAACCUACAAGCUCCGAGCUCAUGUCUUACAUGCAUCUCCUUUAUGAGAUGUGCCCAUUCUACAUGUUUGGUUACAUGUCAGCCAAUGGCGCCAUAGCAGAGGCUAUCAAAGGCGAGAACUUCGUUCACAUCAUUGAUUUCCAAAUCGCACAGGGGAGCCAGUGGAUAACUAUCAUUCAGGCUCUUGCGGCGAGGUCCGGGGGUCCACCAUGCCUAAGAAUCACUGGUAUAGAUGACUCAAACUCUGCUUAUGCCCGAGGUGGUGGACUGGAUAUGGUUGGGACAAGAUUGCAUAGUGUCUCUGCGUCGUGCGGUGUGCCCUUUGAGUUCAAUGCUGUUCAUGCUGCUAGCCAUGAGGUUUAUCUUGAGCAUCUUGAUAUAAGACCUGGGGAGGUCAUUGUGGUGAAUUUCGCCUAUCAGCUGCAUCAUACUCCUGAUGAAAGCGUGAGCACAGAAAAUCAUCGGGACAGGAUUAUAAGAAUGAUCAAGAGCCUAGCCCCCAGGGUGGUGACUCUUGUUGAGCAGGAGUCGAAUACAAACACAACUCCAUUCUUCCAAAGAUACUUGGAGACCCUCGACUACUACACGGCAAUAUUCGAGAUAAUAGAUGUUGCUCUCCCAAGGGAUGACAAGACACGGAUUAGCACGGAGCAGCACUGUCUUGCCAGGGAUAUCAUCAGUUUAAUCGCGUGUGAGGGUGCUGAAAGGGUUGAGAGGCAUGAGGUGUUUGGAAAAUGGAAGGCAAGGUUUGCAAUGGCUGGAUUUAGGCCGUACCCACUGAGUUCGCUGGUGAACAACACCAUCAAAACACUGCUGGAUGGCUACCACCGUUGCUACAGGCUUGAGGAAAGGGACGGAGUCCUUUACCUUGGUUGGAAGAGUAGGAUGUUGGUCGUGUCUUCUGCAUGGCGCUGA
RNAcentral lists this ribosomal RNA (3210 nucleotides) under Triticum aestivum (bread wheat). RNAcentral describes it as "partial small subunit ribosomal RNA". The record is from RNAcentral. Lineage: Eukaryota; Viridiplantae; Streptophyta; Magnoliopsida; Poales; Poaceae.